CGCGUAGGCGGUUUGUUUAGUUAGGGCGUGAAAUUCCUGGGCUUAACCUGGGGACUGCGCUUAAUACAGGCAGACUUGAGUUCGGAAGAGGGUCGUGGAAUUCCCAGUGUAGAGGUGAAAUUCGUAGAUAUUGGGAAGAACACCGGUGGCGAAGGCGGCGACCUGGUCCGAUACUGACGCUGAGGCGCGAAAGCGUGGGGAGCAAACA
RNAcentral lists this ribosomal RNA (208 nucleotides) under uncultured bacterium. RNAcentral's name for it is "partial 16S ribosomal RNA". It matches the Rfam family "Bacterial small subunit ribosomal RNA", at positions 568 to 774 of the family's 1533-position model. The record is from RNAcentral.